UUGCAAUGCUGACUUAGGACACCUUUGGAUUGGCCACGAAAAUAAAUGUAAGAUCAAAUAUGAGCAAC
Small nucleolar RNA from Salvelinus sp. IW2-2015, 68 nucleotides. RefSeq annotates it as small nucleolar RNA SNORD58. The record is from RefSeq and is a predicted model, not a curated record. Lineage: Eukaryota; Metazoa; Chordata; Actinopteri; Salmoniformes; Salmonidae. The transcript has a single exon.